RNAcentral lists this ribosomal RNA (700 nucleotides) under Staphylococcus agnetis. RNAcentral's name for it is "bacterial SSU rRNA". It matches the Rfam family "Bacterial small subunit ribosomal RNA", at positions 1 to 683 of the family's 1533-position model. The record is from RNAcentral. Lineage: Bacteria; Bacillati; Bacillota; Bacilli; Caryophanales; Staphylococcaceae.
UUUAUGGAGAGUUUGAUCCUGGCUCAGGAUGAACGCUGGCGGCGUGCCUAAUACAUGCAAGUCGAGCGAACUGACGAGGAGCUUGCUCCUUUGACGUUAGCGGCGGACGGGUGAGUAACACGUGGGUAACCUACCUAUAAGACUGGAAUAACUCCGGGAAACCGGGGCUAAUGCCGGAUAACAUGUUGAACCGCAUGGUUCAACAGUGAAAGACGGUUUUGCUGUCACUUAUAGAUGGACCCGCGCCGUAUUAGCUAGUUGGUAAGGUAACGGCUUACCAAGGCGACGAUACGUAGCCGACCUGAGAGGGUGAUCGGCCACACUGGAACUGAGACACGGUCCAGACUCCUACGGGAGGCAGCAGUAGGGAAUCUUCCGCAAUGGGCGAAAGCCUGACGGAGCAACGCCGCGUGAGUGAUGAAGGUCUUCGGAUCGUAAAGCUCUGUUGUUAGGGAAGAACAUAUGUGUAAGUAACUGUGCACAUCUUGACGGUACCUAACCAGAAAGCCACGGCUAACUACGUGCCAGCAGCCGCGGUAAUACGUAGGUGGCAAGCGUUAUCCGGAAUUAUUGGGCGUAAAGCGCGCGUAGGCGGUUUUUUAAGUCUGAUGUGAAAGCCCACGGCUCAACCGUGGAGGGUCAUUGGAAACUGGAAAACUUGAGUGCAGAAGAGGAAAGGGGAAUUCCAUGUGUAGCGGUG